AAUGAACGCUGGCGGCGCGCCUAAUACAUGCAAGUCGAGCGAGAAGACGUAGCAAUACGUUUGUAAAGCGGCGAACGGGUGAGGAAUACAUGGGUAACCUACCCUCGAGUGGGGAAUAACUAGCCGAAAGGUUAGCUAAUACCGCGUACGCUUCUUGGACUUCGGUUCAGGGAGGAAAGCGAUACCGUGGGUAUCGCGCUCUUGGAUGGGCUCAUGUCCUAUCAGCUUGUUGGUGAGGUAACGGCUCACCAAGGCUUUGACGGGUAGCUGGUCUGAGAGGACGAUCAGCCACACUGGCACUGCGACACGGGCCAGACUCCUACGGGAGGCAGCAGUAAGGAAUAUUGCGCAAUGGGCGAAAGCCUGACGCAGCGACGCCGCGUGGGGGAUGAAGGUCUUCGGAUU
RNAcentral lists this ribosomal RNA (405 nucleotides) under uncultured bacterium. RNAcentral's name for it is "bacterial SSU rRNA". It matches the Rfam family "Bacterial small subunit ribosomal RNA", at positions 29 to 424 of the family's 1533-position model. The record is from RNAcentral.